Molecule: transfer-messenger RNA, 373 nt
Filed under: Cupriavidus sp. WKF15
Lineage: Bacteria; Pseudomonadati; Pseudomonadota; Betaproteobacteria; Burkholderiales; Burkholderiaceae
Rfam family: Betaproteobacteria transfer-messenger RNA
About the family: Bacterial tmRNA, also known as 10Sa RNA or SsrA, is named for its dual tRNA and mRNA-like properties. Its role is to liberate the mRNA from a stalled ribosome. To accomplish this part of the tmRNA is used as a reading frame that ends in a translation stop signal.
Source: RNAcentral
GGUCGUCCACGACCGAGACGCAAAUGCCGCAAUAAACCUAAAGAUCAUGGCCGUGAGUUCCACGGUGUCAGUCUGUGGAGAGGAAGGCGCUGGCCGCCGUCGCAAGACGGUGGCGAAACCAGCCUCAGUGAAGCAGAAAGUCAGCUUUGUUCCUGUUUGAGCAGGAAUGAGCAAGUCUGACGGAACGGUGUAUGGGUUUCGACAGGGCGUCGUGCAUAGGGGCGCAGGCAACCCGUCAGGCGAUUGACGUAAAUGAAGCAAAUCCAUAGACGCCAACGAUGAGCGUUUUGCACUGGCCGCCUUAGGCCAAUGCCGGGGCCGCUGAAGCCUUGUAGACCAAGACAGCCGGUGGGGACUUCGGUCCCCAUUGUCA